UCGGUGACAGGUGGUGCGAUGGUUGUCGUCAGCUCGUGUCGUGAGAUGUUGGUUAAGUCCCGCAACGAGCGCAACCCCUAUUGUUAGUUGCCAUCAUUCAGUUGGGCACUCUAGCGAGACUGCCGGUAAUAAACCGGAGGAAGGUGGGGAUGACGUCAAAUCAUCAUGCCCCUUAUGACCUGGGCUACACACGUGCUACAAUGGUUGGUACAACGAGUUGCGAGUCGGUGACGGCGAGCUAAUCUCUUAAAGCCAAUCUCAGUUCGGAUUGUAGGCUGCAACUCGCCUACAUGAAGUCGGAAUCGCUAGUAAUCGCGGAUCAGCACGCCGCGGUGAAUACGUUCCCGGGCCUU
This 353-nucleotide ribosomal RNA is filed under the name uncultured Streptococcus sp. RNAcentral describes it as "bacterial SSU rRNA". It matches the Rfam family "Bacterial small subunit ribosomal RNA", at positions 1028 to 1382 of the family's 1533-position model. The record is from RNAcentral. Lineage: Bacteria; Bacillati; Bacillota; Bacilli; Lactobacillales; Streptococcaceae.